This 260-nucleotide long non-coding RNA is filed under the name Elaeis guineensis (African oil palm). RNAcentral describes it as "long non-coding RNA (EGUI_LNC072059)". Lineage: Eukaryota; Viridiplantae; Streptophyta; Magnoliopsida; Arecales; Arecaceae. The record is from RNAcentral.
CCAUUGGAUCAGAUAGGAACCUCUAAUGUGUGUUACCCCGCAGGUUCAAACCUAAACUGGUAGCACAAGAACCAAUUUCUGUACUAAUCGAAGUGACCAUCUAGCAAUGGUACCCAAUGUCCGGAUUGGUCGAAUAGUCACAAUCGCAACACUCAGAACCUACGUGAAUAUGGUUAUUGUACAAUUCAUCCUUUUGACCCCUGUGUUUAGGAUGACUCAGGGUUAAACUGUCAACCCUGAUCAGAUCAUCCGAAUCAUGC